UAUGGAGGGAGCUAGCGUUGUUCGGAAUUACUGGGCGUAAAGCGCACGUAGGCGGCUUUGUAAGUUAGAGGUGAAAGCCCGGGGCUCAACCCCGGAAUUGCCUUUAAGACUGCAUCGCUUGAAUCCAGGAGAGGUGAGUGGAAUUCCGAGUGUAGAGGUGAAAUUCGUAGAUAUUCGGAAGAACACCAGUGGCGAAGGCGGCUCACUGGACUGGUAUUGACGCUGAGGUGCGAAAGCGUGGGGAGCAAACAGG
Molecule: ribosomal RNA, 253 nt
Filed under: uncultured bacterium
Lineage: Bacteria
Description: partial 16S ribosomal RNA
Rfam family: Bacterial small subunit ribosomal RNA
Source: RNAcentral